This 606-nucleotide long non-coding RNA is filed under the name Macaca fascicularis (crab-eating macaque). Its description in RNAcentral is "lncRNA (ENSMFAG00000062715.1)". The record is from RNAcentral. Lineage: Eukaryota; Metazoa; Chordata; Mammalia; Primates; Cercopithecidae.
GUGAUUUUGCUCACAACCAGGUUUUCAGCUGUCACCCCCCUGCUCUUUGUGCCAAGUUCUCUCGCCCAUUCUUUCUCUGGAGAGCUUCCUUCUGACCUCCAGACAUGCUCCCCGACUUGGCUAUACCCUUGGCAGAUCCGUCACACUCAGCACUUCGGGCCUGCAUCUGUCUUCUUCCUCUCCACACCUCGGGACACGCCAGGAUUUCUGUCCUGCGCUUCACAUCUCAGUGGAUUGCAACACUGCAGGCAACUGCCCAGAGAGCAAAGCGUUAUCGCAGGGGCCUUCUGUCCCCAACUUGCCAACACCGCUGACACUUUCUCUGAAAUAUAUUCACCCCUGCCCUCUAAGCAGCCUCUCUCCCCACCCCAGUCGUGCUGCCAAAACCUAGGUUCAGAUGCAGAGAGGCCGUGGCAGAUGCUUCCUCUUCCAAAGGACGCAGCUCCGAUGUGCCUUCUGGGAGGCACCACAGAGAUGCUUGGCACGCGUCUCCCACUGCCCUUCCUUCUCGACUUCACUGCAGGAAUCGCCCUGCAGUGGCACCACUUCUUCUCAAGUCUGACAGUAAGCCCCUGCAGACCAGAUGCCACAUCUUCCUACAGGUAG